AGAAUCUGUCUUGAGCCAAAUAUGA
RNAcentral lists this non-coding RNA (25 nucleotides) under Rattus norvegicus (Norway rat). The record is from RNAcentral. Lineage: Eukaryota; Metazoa; Chordata; Mammalia; Rodentia; Muridae.